AAUCAGUACUCAUUAAUCAGUAAAGCUAUUGUUAUGGAAGAGGACAAGAGGAGGGAAAAGAGGCGCCCCUCCGAAACAUUAGAAGAGAACCGGCGGCAACACUGGGACGGUUGGCAACGCUGAGGGGUUGGUGUUGACGAGAGGGAAGAACAAAGAAACGGGACUAACGGGAGUACGCACGGAGAACUGCGCAGUUGUGGUUGGUUGGGACAACGGCGUUUUGUAUUCUAGCGACUUUAAUUAAAUUACUUUAUAUCAAAUUCUAUUUAUUUUUAAUAAUCCUUACACUAUCUUUCGUAUAAGUUUUUUAAAUAGUUUAUACAUUUUACUUUGCAUGUACCCUAAGCUAGUGAAUUAUAUGUAACAACGAAAGAAUGUAUUUAAGAGUGAGAGUGUGAAUGGGUUUGGAUAGAUCAAAUUUGCAUGCAAAAUUACAGGAAGAAAUCCAUCAUCCCAUUUCAUUGAAUUCAUAAAUUUUCACUUUUGAAUGUAGUACUUUAUAAUUUAAAAGGAAGUCUGAUAUGAAUACACUGACCUGCUUAACCGGUAGUUAAAAAUUCUCUUUUCAUCACUCAAGUCUCGGUCAUGAAAUGGACUCAUGGUGUUAGUUGUAAGGGGAAUUCUUUGUUCCAGGUAGACAUUUUUUCUUCGGAAUAUUAAGUUUAUUGCCUUUUUGUGCUUUUCCCAAAUUAGAAUUAGACAAAACCCCACCAUCUGAGUUUCUUCUGUAGGCCCUUACGUCUACUAAAAUGAAAUUGUAACACGGAUCUACUAGAGCCAGAAUCACAAUAGAAGAGUAUUUUUUCUUGUAUUACCAGUAGAGACUUUCAGAUAAUUUUGGAGCUUGUAUUACUACAUGUUUCCCAUCCAAAGCUCCAAUACAGUUAGGGUCCUGCCAAUUUUCUCAAUAUUCAUCAGCUAUAGCAUUCCACAAGUCUUCAUUUGGCAUUGGCAUCACAAUAGAAGCAACUGUUAUUUUUCCCAACCUGUAGCUGAAAGAAUUUGAAUUUGUCUCCAGUAGCAAAAUACCUAAACCAAAAUAUUUAUUUUAUGUUACUUAAUUUGUUAUAGGUACAUUGGAGGAUGUUAAAAAGAAAUAGACUUCUUUUCGAAAUCUGUUACAUAGGACAGGACGCUUCAAAAAGAAAGACAAAAUCUGGGCAUGCUGCUCAAAACAUCAGAAAAUAUAAAUAUGAAGUUCUUACUACCUUAUCUAGGUGAAAGAGAGCCUAACACUGAAGAAAAAACACCUCAACACAAAAGAUAAGUUUGUCUUCAAAACAAGAUAGUCCUAAGUUUGCCACACCUUCAGCAAAGAAAAGAAAGAUCCUAGGUUUUGAAAUGAAAUCAGAAGACUCCAGUGAGCAAGCUAAUGGCUUACAUACUAUCAGAGAAGGAAGCCAAAAAAGGAAAAGCGCAAAGUUCACCAUGUAAAUAAGAUCCAGUUGAUGCUUUUUUUGUGUGGAAAUCACUUAACUGGUGCCUACUCUCAAAUCACUCAACCCUAUUCUUCUGAAUGAAGCAAAAGGAAGGAUUUUUGCAUGACAUCGCAUAGAUCAUCAUCUGCACAGUUGUUUUUCUCAACAUCUGAACAGAACUAGCCAAACUUUAACUUCACUUCAUCACUGCAACUUCAUCAGUUUCCACCGCCCUCAUUGUCGCCAAUACAACGUUAUAUAUUACCUCAAAUUUAAUUGCAAAAUAAAGAGCAAUUUUUACAGUG
Long non-coding RNA from Cimex lectularius (bed bug), 1723 nucleotides. RefSeq lists it as uncharacterized. Lineage: Eukaryota; Metazoa; Arthropoda; Insecta; Hemiptera; Cimicidae. The record is from RefSeq and is a predicted model, not a curated record. The transcript has 2 exons.